CCAGACUCCUACGGGAGGCAGCAGUGGGGAAUAUUGGGCAAUGGAGGAAACUCUUACCCAGCAAUGCCGCGUGAAUGAAGAAGGUCUUCGGAUUGUAAAGUUCUUUAAUUGGGGACGAAAAAAAUGACGGUACCCAAGGAAUAAGCCCCGGCUAACUACGUGCCAGCAGCCGCGGUAAUACGUAGGGAGCAAGCGUUAUCCGGAAUUAUUGGGUGUAAAGGGUGCGUGGACGGGAUAACAAGUUGGUUGUGAAACCCCUCGGCUCAACUGAGGAACUGCAACCAAAACUAUUAUUCUUGAGUGCAGGAGAGGAAAGUGGAAUUCCUAGUGUAGCGGUGAAAUGCGUAGAUAUUAGGAAGAACACCGGUGGCGAAGGCGACUUUCUGGACUGUAACUGACGUUGAGGCACGAAAGUGUGGGGAGCAAACAGGAUUAGAUACCCCUGUAA
Molecule: ribosomal RNA, 448 nt
Filed under: uncultured bacterium
Lineage: Bacteria
Description: partial 16S ribosomal RNA
Rfam family: Bacterial small subunit ribosomal RNA
Source: RNAcentral